This 11426-nucleotide long non-coding RNA is filed under the name Panax ginseng (ginseng). Its description in RNAcentral is "long non-coding RNA (PGIN_LNC007166)". The record is from RNAcentral. Lineage: Eukaryota; Viridiplantae; Streptophyta; Magnoliopsida; Apiales; Araliaceae.
AACACAAAUCAUAUAUAUAAACAAAGAGUAAUAUAGCAUGCACUAACAAACAAUUACUCAAGCUAAAGUAUAUAUAUAAUUUUGAACCAAACACCACACUUUUGAGACGAUGGCUUUUGAAGUAUUCACGUACUAAUAGAUUCUAUAUAAUACCAAGAUUCUAUAUAAGGCAUGAUAUAUCCUAUCAGAGAAAAACAAUUAUUAUCAUUCAUAUAAUAGGACUAAAAGUUUAAAUUCACUACAUUUUCAAAUGUCUCUACGAAGUAAAGCUUGUACAAAAUCAUCCUUUUCAUCACUUGGUGCAACAAAGAACAAUAUCAUGAGAUUCUCAUUAUAGGCCAUCUUCUUCGUAACUUGAUACCUUUGCACUUUGAAAAUUCCAAAAAUAUUGGAAAACUCCUCAUUGAGUUUCUUUUUUUGCUCCAUCAGAUUGUACUCACAAAUUGCUUUGACUAAACAUUUAGGUAGUUUCAUGAAGUUGAGUAGCUAUCAUCCUUGAAGCACAAAUAGCCUCUGCAACUGGAUCCAUACUUCUACUUAUUUUCUUUGAAGAUUUCUUGCUUGUAGACUCAUCAGAAUUAGUGCCAUGUAUCAUGGAUGAGCUAUCAAAAUUAAGAUCCUGAAGCCCAUCUUCAGCACCUUGAAGAAAUAGCAUCUUCUUUAUCAAGAUUUUUACAUGUCUAAGUUCUAAUAAAAUAAACAUUACUCUAAUAAUUCUAGCAACAUGACAAUGUCUGGUCUGGCAAGCACAAUACCCAUGAUCACAAAGAUAGUGAGAACUCAGCGCAUUCUCAGCCACUCAUCCAAUUAGCAAGAAGAACUCUGUAAUUGGGCAGUACUCAAAUGGGUUUAGACUCAUUUCUACCAUUAAAGUUGCAUAGCAAAGCUCUGGUGUAGUAGGAGAUGAUGAUGAAAUGAAACAAGAACCACCAGAUUAUAAUAAGACAAUUGUCCAAGUCAAAGCAGAGCUUUAUAAUGCAUUACAAGGUACAUAGUAUUUUGAGCUCCCCAGUUUUUCACUUGCAAGCUUACAAGAAAUCUGAGCAUGGAAAAACAAUUAGUUUUUGCAGGAAUACUGAGCAAUAAGGCUGAAAAAUAAAACCAAGUGUAUGAUGACCGAAUUACAAACAUUAUGCCUUAACAAAUUUAACAUGCAAAAGAAUAUGCUAAAUAAAUGAAAUAAUUAAAUAUAUGUAGUAUAUUUAUAAAAUAUAUAGUUACAUCCAAAAUAAUAUUUCUAUUAGUUACACAUAAAUCAUCUAGGUUAAAUCUUGCAAUGCUUACUGUUAGGAUAAAAUUCUUUGCAUUAACUUAUGGUAUUCUGUGUGUGCAGUUACAGUGAGUGAAGUAGAGGCCUUGUACGAGCUAUUUAAGUAGUUUACUCUACUUUGUCACAUUAUUUUUCAUACUCUCAUUCUAAAUACAGAUUACUUAAUGCCUUUAAAACAGACAUUUAGGGCCGUUCCUGAGAUUUUGGUGAUCUUGGGCGAAAAAUGAAAACGAGACCCUCCUCGAAAUAUUGUCUUCACCAAAAAAAAUGUAAAAAUAAAUAAAUAAAAAGUACAAGUUGUAUCCAAAAAAGUGUCUUUCCGGAGCUUAAAACAUAAUAGUUCGACUAAAGCAAAAUAUAUGAGAAUUUCGACUGCAGCAAAUUAUAUGAAAAGUUCGACUACAACAAAAUAUAUGAGAAUACAUUCAUUAAAAGAUGUUAGUUUUAUGUUUAACUUAGUUGUCAAGUGGUUAGUUAUCACCACGUCUGUAAUGUCCUUUUAUUUUGGUAUUUGUUAGAUUGUUGAUUUAGUCUUACUACCAAGAUAUAGCAGUUGUAAAACAUGACCUGUGUUUAUGCUUAUUUCAGUUUCCUUUGUAAGGCUAUUUAAUAGCCAAGUCUGUUAUUCAAUGAAGUAUUGUAUGUGUGUGAUUUCCUCCAUCUCCUCUGUUUUCAGUCGAUGGUUUUCUAACAAUUGGUAUCAGAGCCUCAUAACAGGGGCCUGAUUCAAUAGAAGCAGCAGUCUUCUACGAGUGAUCUACAAAUGGCGACAGAGUUCGUUUGUACAGGCAGCCAUUCCAAAGUUUGAUGGGUAUUAUGAUCAUUGGGCGAUGCUCGUGGAGAACUUCUUCCGAUCAAAGGAGUAUUGGGGGUUGGUAGAAAGUAGAGUUCUUGCAGCAGCAAAAGAUGUUGUUCUCACUAAUGCACAGAAGCAACGUAUUAAAGAUCAGCAGUAGAAAGAUUUAAAAGCAAAGAACUAUCUAUUUCAGGCAUUAGAUCGUUCUAUCCUAGAGACGAUCCUUAACAAAAAAGACUUCGAAGGAUAUCUGGGACUCUUUGAAGUAGAAAUAUCAAGGUACAUCAUGAGUAAAGCGUGGAAAUCAGCAAGCUCUUCGAAAGGAGUUCGAAGUUCAUCAUAUGAAGACAGGAGAAAUUGUGAAAGAGUUUUUUUCUCGCACUUACCAUCGCCAACAAGAUGAAAUCAAAUGGUGAGGAUAAGAGUAGUACUGCUACUGUUGAGAAAAUUUUAAGGUCCAUGACUCCUAAGUUUAAUUAUGUUGUGUGCUCCAUUGAAGAAUCUAAAGAUAUUGAUGAGUUUAAUUACUUUAACCAUGAUGAGUUGCAAAGUAGCCUAAUUGUGCAUGAACAACGCAUGAGUUCCCAUGUUGAGGAAGAACAGGCCUUGAAGAUUACUCAUGGUGAUCACUCAGUAGGAAGAGGUCGUGGUCGUGGCAACUAUAGAGGAAGAGGAAGAGGUCAAAAUAGGAGGUCUAUUGAUAAGACUACAGUGGAAUGCUAUAAUUGUCACAGGACAUUUUGCAUGGGAAUGUCCAAGCAAAGAAACAGGGGCAAAUUAUGUAGAGAAUCAAGAAGAGAUGCUGUUAAUGACAUACGUGGAUCUGAACAAGGCUAGUAGAGAAGAUAUAUGAUUUCUAGACUUUGGAUGCAGCAAUCACAUGUGUGGAAAGAAGGAAUAUUUCUUAGAUCUUGAUGGAAAUUUUCGAGAUUCUGAGAAGCUUGGCAACAACACAAGUAUAGCUGUUCUAGGAAAAGGAAAUGUUAGGCUGCAAAUGAAUGGCAUAACUCAAAUCAUUACAAGUGUGUUCUAUGUACCCGAGCUGAAGAAUAAUCUACUAAGUAUUGGACAGUUGCAGGAAAAAGGUCUUACUAUUUUAUUUCAGCAUGGCAAGUGUAAGGUGUUCCAUUCACAUAAAGGUUUGAUUAUGGAUUCAAAAAUAUGAAUGUUUGUCAAGCUUUAUCUCAGCCUAAAUUAUCAUCUUGUUUCAACACAAUCACAGAAGAUAUUGAGCAGCUUUGGCAUUGUCGGUAUGGACAUUUAUGUUUUAAAGGUUUAAAGACUCUUCAACAAAAGCAAAUGGUAAAUACCACAACUUCAACCUCCCUCCAAGUUAUGCAAGGAUUCCUUGGUAGGGAAACAACACAGGGAUUCAUUUCCAAAAAGCAGUACCUGGCGAGCUGCAGAGAUUAUUCAGUUAGUGCAUGCAGACAUUUGUGGACCCAUUACACCCAUCUCUAACAGUAACAAAAGGUACAUACUUUCACUGAUGAUUUUUGUAGAAAAACAUGGGUUUAUUAUUUGGUAGAAAAAAAAUCAGAAUCCUUUACUGUUUUCAAGAAUUUUAAGACUCGUGUUGAGAAGGAAACUAGUUCUUUUCUGAAAAGCCUGCGAACUGAUCGAGGAGGUGAGUUUACAUCCCAGGAAUUUGUUAUUUUUUGUGAUGUAAGUGGCAUACGACAGUUAACGACAGCAUAUACACCACAACGGAAUGGUGUUGUCGAACGCAAGAAUAGAACUAUCAUGAAUAUGGUUUGAAGUAUUCUGGCAGCAAAGAAAAUUCCCAAGACUUUUUGGCCUGAAGCAGUAAAUUGGAUAGUGCAUGUUCUGAAUAGAAGUCCAACUUUUGCAGUUCAAAACAAGACUCCAGAAGAAGCUUGGGGUAAAGUUAAGCCUUCAGUUGAUUAUUUUAGAGUUUUUGGAGGCAUUUCUCAUGUUCAUAUUCCUGACAAUAAGAGAACUAAGCUGGAUGACAAGAGUUUCACUUGUGUUUUGUUGGGAGUUAGUGAAGAAUCAAAGGCUUACAGACUUUAUGAUCCAAUUUCACAAAAGAUUAUUAUCAAUAGAGAUGUUGUAUUCAAAGAAGACAAGCAUUGAGAUUGGGAUAAGAAGUAUGAAACAAAUAUUAUAUGUGAUUUGGAAUGGGAUGAUUCUGCAGAAGAAGUAAUUUUAAAUGAAGAAGAAAAUGAAUCCAAUGUUAAUGCUGAUGUAGAAGAAAAUACAGAAGUAAAUAAAGAUAUGGAGUUGCUGAAACAAAUUCUCAACUUGCCAUAAGAAAUCGCAGACCACCUGUUUGGAUGAGAAAUUAUGAAACUGGAGAAAGUUUUUCCGAGGAAGAAAAUGAAGUUCAACUUGCCAUGGUUGCAGUUACAGAUCCUAUUUAUUUUGAAGCAGCAGUUAAAAGUGAGAAAUGGAGGACAACAAUGGAUGUGGAUGUAAUAACCAAGAAUUUUAAGUCGCUUUGUAAAUAAAUAUAUUACUAAUAUUGAAAACUUUAUGGCAUAUAGUGAUUAAAUAUGUGUGAUGAUUAUGUGAUAGAAGACUAUGGCUAAAUACAUAUAUAUUGUGCGCAUGGAUAUGUGUAAUCACUAGUUAUGUUAUUAGAAUUAAAAAGGAAAGCUACAUAACCUAAUUAUACCCUAGGUAUGGUAAGUAAGUAACCUAAGGGUUAUAGCAUUGAGAAAUGUUAGUAUUUAAGAUUUAUACUAACCUAAAAGUUUAAGUUUAUUAUCUCAAGUGAUUAUUUAUUUUAAACUUAAUUAAAGCAAGCCUAAUUGGGUUAUAAGAUUAAUUGGACAUGAGUAAGUAUUUAAAUCCCGAAAGAUUGGGGAUAGAAACCCUAAAAAAAUAAUUAGGGUAAGAGAGAUUAAAAGUAAUGGACUAUGUUACCUACAUGGUCCAAAUAAUUAAUUAGGAAGCCCAAAAGAAUUAAAUUAGAAGUCCAAACUUUAGCCAUUUGACAAGGGACAUUUUGGACAUUUGAUUAAUCAAAAUUGGCAUUAAAAAUAAAGUCAAAAUGGGGCAAAAAUGGGAGGGCUGGCCCCUUAUGGCCAUUUUUGGCCUUGUGAUGCGAUAGUUAUCUUAUCAUUUAUGCUAAUUAAUCUCCUUAUCUACACUAACCCUUAUGUGUCAUGCUCCCAUUGGUUCAAAAUCUUAAUUAGGAUUACAUAUAAGGGUAUUUGCCUAAUGGUUUAAAGAAGUAUGGGGGAUAAUAGUAUAGAUAUAGAUUUUAUAUCUAUACUAAUAUACUAAUACCCUCAUUUCAUCUCAUUUCAUUUUCAUUCCAUCUCAUUCUCUUCCAAGCUAAAAGAAAGAAAAACAAAGAGAGAAAAGAGAGAGGGGAGGCCGGGGGUAUAGAGGGAGAAGAGAGAGUGGUUGCAAGCUUCAUGCAUCCUAAGUUCUUACAUUACUUUGGAAAGACAAGGAGGAUAGCUAACAAAUCAAGGUGAGCUUCUAAUCUAGUUCUUCUCCUCUUGUUUGAUUUUAUAUUCAAAGUUAUUGAGGGGAAUUGUUCUAAAGACUCAAAAACCCUUAGAUCUAUAUACUUCAUGUAAGGAUCUAAGCCUCUUGAGUGUUAGAAUAAUGAUCCAAAGGAAGAAAAUAAACUUAUGUUCCUUAAGGGUGAAAACCCUAGCUUUUUCUUCACUUGGAUCAUCUAUAAAUUGAGAUCUACACCUCCAAUUUGUGAUCCGUCAAAAGGUGGAGGUAGAUACAUAAGUUACCUAGUAAACCCAAGUGGUAGGACCCCAAACCACUGAUUUUUCCAGCCGUGGUGGCUGGUGGAGCCAAAACAGUCCACUAUAGAACAAAACUAGUAGACAGUUUCUGGCCACUUGCUACCAAGGGUAUUUCCAUCAACUUUCUGCACUUCAAAAAUUUUGAGAAAAAUCAGGAAGAUACCUUGAUGAGUUAUCUACAUUUAGGAAAAAGAAUGGACAGUUUUGGAUGUACAGAUUAGGAGUUAUGGACCUUACAAGAAAGGACUCUUUUAAAAUAAACAUGAAUAACUCCUUGUGUGUAACUCCAAAAAUAGUAAAAUUUUUACUGAAAGUACAUAUAUAUAACAAGAGCAUACCCUGAAAUUGUCAAGAUUGUUGGACAAAAACUCAAUUUAUUAAAACUGGUGCAAGAUCCGGCUGUUUUAGGCCCUUUAAAAAUAGUAAAUCAAGUUGAAAAAUUUUGAAAAAAUUUGGGAAACCUCUAGAUAUUAUAUUCUGUCAUAUUCCAGAAAAGAAACAUUUUUGGAACUGUUUUGAUAUUUUUCUUGUAAAUGGUUGUACAAUGAAUAAAUGGAAAUAAAUAGCUAUAUGAUGUCAUAAAUAGUAAAAAUAUGAUGUCAGAGCUUAGAAACCCUAGAUAUGUGGUAUGCUGAUUAUUGGAGGGUAUUUUGGUAAUUUGUGAUGUGAACUAAUAUUUAUGACCUUUUAGGGUUAUUAAAUAAAGGUAUUAAUAAAUGGUAAAUCAUUAAAAUAAAUUGUUUAAUUGGUUUAAUAAAUGAUUAAAAUAUUAUUAUGAUAUUAAUAAUAUUAGAAUAAGAUAUUUUUAAAUAAUCAAUAAUAUUUAGAUCAAGAUUGAAUUUAAAAUAGUAUUAAAUGAUUAAUAAUAUUAGAUUAAAGCAUUAAUAAAUGAUUAAGAUAUUAUUAAAUAAAAUAUUAUUAAAAGAUUAAUAUUAGAUUAAAGUAUUAUUAGAUGAUUAAAAUAUUAUUAAAUAAUUAAUAAUAUUCGAAAUUAAAUAAAAUGUUAUUAAAAGGUUAAUAAUAUUAGUAAAUGAAUAGAAUAUUAUUAAAUGGAUGAUAAUAUUAGAAAAAGAUUAAAAUAUUAUUAAAAGGUUAAUAAUAUUAGUAAAGUAAUAAAAUAUUAUUAAAUGAUUAAUAAUAUUAGUUAAGGAUUAAGAUUUUAUUAAAUGAUUAAUAAUAUUAGUAAAAGAAGCAAGUGUUAAAGAAUAUUAGAAAUUGAUUAAAACAUUAUUAAGAGGUUAAUAAUAUUAGUAAGAGAAUAAAGUAUUAUUAGUUGAUUAAUAAUACUAAGAAGUAAAUAAAAUAUUAUUAAGGGUAAUAAUAUUAGAUGAGUUAAGAUAAUGUUUACGUGAUAGUAAUAAGGGAUGAUAUUAUUACUAAGGAAUUAGUGUAAUGACUAAAUGUUCAAUAAAGAAUAAUGAUAUUAUAUGAUUUACUAAUUUGAAGAUUAAUCAUAGGUCUUUCAAAGGAAGAUAGAUUAAACUGCUUAGCCGGAUAAAUUUAAUUUCGUAGCAGUAGACCGCAAACGAGGCAAGUUCUAUAACUCAAACUCGAGUUAUUAUUUUCGAAGCAUGUUAGUGGAUAUUUAUUGUUGAUUACUCCACAUCCUUAAUGAUUAUUAUUAAUCGCACUUUGUGUAAUCGAAUUCCUGUUCUAUUAUUAUUGAACUGUGAAUUUAUUUGAAGUUCUUUCAUUCAUGAGUUGUUUAUAAGAUAGAUCUAUGCUAGUUGUAUCAGCUAGAUCAAGCAUGUUUAAAUGUGUUAAAACAAAUGUAUUUUAAGAGCUGUUCUUAAUCUAUUGUUGUGAUAAGAACUCUUGACUGGAAAAAAGAACAAUUUUAUUAAAGCAUGAUAUUGAAAAACAAUUGUUGCUCGAUUAUUAAGUGUUUAUGCAUAAGUCACCGGGUAUGAAAGGCUGAUCCCUUUGAUUACCAAAACUAAUUAAAAGGGCCAGUUUAAAUACUGACAACCUUAGUAUAUGUUCAUGGUUAUACCACUCGGUAUCUAUUAUUCAAUAUUCGAAUAUCCAAUUACUGAGAAUUACUUCAUGUUCGUUCGCAAUCGAUUCCUAUUGUUGAACCUUGAAAGCUAAAUUCCUUUCUAAUCAUGAUAUAUCCUCUUUGUAUUUAAACUUACUAAGCAAAUUAGUUGCUUACCCUUUUUAUAUCAUGACGUUUAUUUCAGCAAAGUCAGAGACGUCCAGGAGGGACAAGGGAAAGGGAAAAAUGCAAGAAUAGUCAAUGAGAUUGUUUAAGUGUUAUUUUAUUUUAUUGUAAUUUGAUUAAGUGAACCUUUUAUAAUAUUAAAGGUAUGUGUAAGUUAAGGUUAAUAGAACCCUGGGAUUAUGUUGCAACUUUAUUAUGAUGAACAAUAUAUGUUUAUUAUUUCGCAAUAGUUAUAGAACGUGUAUGUUGAGGAUGGAUCAUGAGCACUGGAUCCGAAGUUAGAGAAUUCAGAUUUGGGGGCGUCAUAGUGGAAAUGGAAGCGAUAAAGAAAAAUGGUACUUGGAAAUUAACAAAAUUACCUAAGGGAGGAAAGACAAUUAGAGUGAAGUGGGUUUAUAUGACCAAGUUAAAUGAAAAUGGAGAAAUAGAAAAGCACAAAGCUCGGCUUGCAGCGAAAGGUUACACACAACAAUAUGGGGUUGACUACACUGAAGUUUUUGCACCUGUGGCACGUAUGGAGACGAUCAGUUUAGUGAUUGCACUUGUAGCUCAAAAAGGGUGGUCCAUUUAUCAAUUGGAUGUCAAAUCUGCAUUCUUACAUGAUGAGUUGAAUGAAGAGGUCUUUGUGGAGCAGCCUUGUGGUUAUGUACAAAAGGGAAAUGAGCAAAAAGUUUACAAGCUAAAGAAGGCACUUUAUGGGCUUAAGCAAGCACCCCGUGCUUGGUACAACUGUAUAGAGGCCUAUUUCAUGAAAGAAGGUUUCGAGAAGUGUGACUACGAGCAUACUCUGUUCAUCAAGACGAGCAUAGAAGACAUUAUUAAUUAUAAGUCUCUACGUCGAUGAUCUCAUUUUUACUGUAAAUGAUGAAUUGAUGUUUACAGAGUUUAAAAAUUCCAUGAAUCAUGAGUUUGACAUGACAGAUCUUGGUAAGAUGAGAUACUUCCUUGGUCUUGAAGUCUUGCAAAGAUCUGAUGGUAUUUUUAUCUGUCAAAAGAAGUAUGCUUUGGAGGUGCUACAUAGGUUUGGAAUGGACAAAAGUAAUUCUGUUCAUAAUUUUAUUGUUCUUGGCUUUAAGCUCGUGAAGGAUAAAGGUGGAGUUAAGGUGAACAAGACUUACUAUAAACAGAUUAUGGGCAGUCUCAUUUAUCUAACAACUACUCGACCUAACAUGAUGUUUGUAGGGAGUCUUAUUAGUAGAUAUAUGGAAAAUCCUACUGGGUUUCAUUUACAGGCAACAAAAAAGGUGCUGCGAUAUUUGAAAGGAGCAACUGAGUUUGGAAUUUUCUAUAAGAAGGGAGGAGAUGAUGAACUUGUUGCGUACACUGAUAGUGAUUAUGCUAGAGAUUUGGAGGACGGUAAGAGUACUUCAGGCUAUGUGUUUUUAUUAAGUUCAGGAGCAGUAUCUUGGUCAUCAAAGAAACAACUAGUAGUAAGUCUAUCUACUACAAAGGCAGAGUUUAUUGAUACAGGUUCAUGUGCAUGCCAAGCAGUAUGGCUGAAAAGGGUGUUGGGAAAGCUGGAUCAAAAUCAAGGCAAGUCAUGUGUAAUUCAAUGUGAUAAUAGCUCUGCAAUCAAGCUUUCAAAGAAUCCUGUAAUGCAUGGUCGAAGCAAGCACGUAGAUGUUCGUUUUCAUUUUCUUCAAGAUCUUGCAAAGGAUGGAAUUGUGGAAUUGGUGCACUAUGAUACACAAGAUCAAUUGGCUGAUGUAAUGACUAAGCCACUUAAGUUGAAUACCUUUGUCAAGAUGCGAAAACAAUUGGGAGUCUGUUCUGAGAAUGAUAUAAACUGAACCUCAUAGCAUUCAGUUUAAAGGAGGAAAUGUUAGUUUUAUGUUUUAACUUAGUGGUCAAGUGGUUAGUUAUCACCACGUCUGUAAUGUCCUUUUAUUUUGGUAUUUGUUAGAUUGUUGAUUUAGUCUUAUUACCAUGAUAUAGCAGUUGUAAAAUGUGGCCUAUGUUUAUGCUUAUUUCAGUUUCCUUUGUAAGGCAAUUUAGUAGCCAAGUCUAUUAUUCAAUGAAGUAUUGUAUGUGUGUGAUUUCCUCCAUCUCCUCUGUUUUCAGUCUAUAGUUUUCUAACAAAAGAUACUUUUUCUAGUAUUCAGAUUAGGGGCACAGGGCGAUCGACCCUCCCGCCCGUGCUCAGGAACGGCUCUGCAGACAUUCAAUGAAGCAGAUGCAAAAGGGGAUGGAAGGAUUGAUCAAGAAGAGUGGAAGGAAUUUGAAUCAAAGAAUCCUUCUUUGUUAAAGAUUGAUUACACACACUUUUACUUCUUUUUUUGAAGAGGACAAAGGAUCAAUUAUUUAUUUGUGUGCAAAUUAGAAUGUCAUACACAAAGGAUCAAUUAUUUGUGUACAAAUGAAGUUGUUUAUUUGUGGAUAAAAAUCUGAUUUCUACAUCCUAAGGCACCACCAACCAUGAGCUGAUCUAGAUGGUAUCACCCCUUCAACCAAAAAAGAGAUGGUAUCCCUUUAACUUUGCACGACAAGAUCAGGAGUUCAAAUUUCAGAAAUGAUACUUAUCAUAAAUGAUUCUUAUCAUAAGGAAAACUCCACCGAAACAGAAGCAAUAACCAUAUAACAUAGCAGCAUAUCAACCACUGACAUCAAUGCUAAUGAAGUACUCAAUACAUAAGGAUCCACUGUUGACAUUACCAAUUUCUGUUGUAAAUACAAAACUUAAUCAAAUACCAAAAAGGCCUUUUUAGCAUAAAACCAUCAAACAGAAACAUCAAAGCAAUCUUUUAUCAUUACAAGUUCAAAUGGUAAUAAUUCAGUCCCACAAAUACAUUUAAGGUGCUAUCCCAGAAACAAAAUUCACUAAAAUUACAUUAGAAAAUUUUAAGGAAAAACCAUAACAGAAAAUAAAAGGAGUACAAUUAUAUACUUGUUAAUUAUCUUUUGAGUCAAAUUAUCAAACAUUUAGAAGACAAAAAUGGAGGAAACUCUAGCAAAGCAAACAAAAACCCAAGCAAUUAAUGAAAAUAAACAUGAAAUUGAUAGAGUAGAGCAUAUAUACAUAUCACAUAGAACGAAAAUGAUAAAUCAAGAUUCAAACAGCCCAUUCUAAGAAUUGAAAGCUAGAUUCAAGUGCUAAUUAUAGUACGUAGAUCAAUUGGAUAUGAUAACGAGAUUGGGAAAGAUAUUGAACGAGAAUGAUGAAGAGAACCAGAUUGAUAAUACCUUUAUUCUCCUUCAGCGAUUUGCUCGAUCAAUUGGAUAUUUGAACGAGAUUGGCUUGCUUCUUCAAUCGGUGGGAGAAAGGUAGGGAUAGAAGGUACCGUGAAGAGAAGCCGAGAGGUGAGACUGAGAAGUUCGAUCGAUUUGCACGAUAGAAGAGGAUAAAAUCGGGUGAAUGAAGUCGGGAAUCAAAUAUACCCACCUAUUUAGAAGGAAUGAAAAAUAACAUUCAGAUUUGGGAAUUACUUAAAGAAUGACUAAUUAAACAUGUUUUAAGUCAUC